UACGAACGCUGGCGGCGUGCCUAAUACAUGCAAGUAGAACGCACAGUUUAUACCGUAGCUUGCUACACCAUAGACUGUGAGUUGCGAACGGGUGAGUAACGCGUAGGUAACCUGCCUGGUAGCGGGGGAUAACUAUUGGAAACGAUAGCUAAUACCGCAUAAUAUUAAUUAUUGCAUGAUAAUUAAUUGAAAGGUGCAAUUGCACCACUACCAGAUGGACCUGCGUUGUAUUAGCUAGUAGGUGAGGUAACGGCUCACCUAGGCGACGAUACAUAGCCGACCUGAGAGGGUGAUCGGCCACACUGGGACUGAGACACGGCCCAGACUCCUACGGGAGGCAGCAGUAGGGAAUCUUCGGCAAUGGACGAAAGUCUGACCGAGCAACGCCGCGUGAGUGAAGAAGGUUUUCGGAUCGUAAAGCUCUGUUGUAAGAGAAGAACGGGUGUGAGAGUGGAAAGUUCACACUGUGACGGUAUCUUACCAGAAAGGGACGGCUAACUACGUG
This 505-nucleotide ribosomal RNA is filed under the name uncultured bacterium. RNAcentral describes it as "partial 16S ribosomal RNA". It matches the Rfam family "Bacterial small subunit ribosomal RNA", at positions 29 to 507 of the family's 1533-position model. The record is from RNAcentral.